UGGGUGGAUCAGUGGCGAACGGGUGAGUAACACGUGAGUAACCUGCCCCUGACUUUGGGAUAACUCCGGGAAACCGGGGCUAAUACCGGAUAUGAGGCGUGCCUGCAUGGGCGUGUCUGGAAAGAUUUAUCGGUUGGGGAUGGGCUCGCGGCCUAUCAGCUUGUUGGUGGGGUGAUGGCCUACCAAGGCGACGACGGGUAGCCGGCCUGAGAGGGCGACCGGCCACACUGGGACUGAGACACGGCCCAGACUCCUACGGGAGGCAGCAGUGGGGAAUAUUGCACAAUGGGCGCAAGCCUGAUGCAGCGACGCCGCGUGAGGGAUGACGGCCUUCGGGUUGUAAACCUCUUUCAGCAGGGAAGAAGCGAAAGUGACGGUACCUGCAGAAGAAGCGCCGGCUAACUACGUGCCAGCAGCCGCGGUAAUACGUAGGGCGCAAGCGUUGUCCGGAAUUAUUGGGCGUAAAGAGCUCGUAGGCGGUUUGUCGCGUCUGCUGUGAAAUCCCGAGGCUCAACCUCGGGCUUGCAGUGGGUACGGGCAGACUAGAGUGCGGUAGGGGAGACUGGAAUUCCUGGUGUAGCGGUGGAAUGCGCAGAUUUCAGGAGGAACAC
RNAcentral lists this ribosomal RNA (611 nucleotides) under Luteimicrobium album. RNAcentral's name for it is "bacterial SSU rRNA". It matches the Rfam family "Bacterial small subunit ribosomal RNA", at positions 84 to 709 of the family's 1533-position model. The record is from RNAcentral. Lineage: Bacteria; Bacillati; Actinomycetota; Actinomycetes; Micrococcales.